RNAcentral lists this unclassified non-coding RNA (195 nucleotides) under uncultured Chaetothyriales. RNAcentral's name for it is "sequence contains ITS2". Lineage: Eukaryota; Fungi; Ascomycota; Eurotiomycetes; Chaetothyriales. The record is from RNAcentral.
UCCCUCCUCAAACCCUGGGUUUGGUGUUGGACCAAAGUUGGUGCCCUGCUGCGGCGUGGCGACCAACUGGUCUCAAAGACAAUGACGGCGUCCGUGGGACCCUCUUCGCAACGAGCUUUCCGGAGCACGCGUCGAGUGUCAAGGACCCUCGGGCCCGGUCGUACCUGUCGAGACGUCUCGGCGUCUCCUCUGUAA